This 555-nucleotide ribosomal RNA is filed under the name uncultured Planctomycetota bacterium. Its description in RNAcentral is "bacterial SSU rRNA". It matches the Rfam family "Bacterial small subunit ribosomal RNA", at positions 289 to 830 of the family's 1533-position model. The record is from RNAcentral. Lineage: Bacteria; Pseudomonadati; Planctomycetota.
GACUUGCAUGCCUAAUCCACGCCGCCAACGUUCGUUCUGAGCCACUGCCCAGACUCCUACGGGAGGCUGCAGUCGAGGAUCUUCCGCAAUGCGCGAAAGCGUGACGGAGCGACGCCGCGUGGGUGAUGAAGGCCUUCGGGUUGUAAAGCCCUGUCGCCUGGGAAGAAUGGCGGGAGGUGAAUAGCCAUCUCGUCUGACGCUACCAGGAAAGGAAGCACCGGCUAAAUACGUGCCAGCAGCCGCGGUAAUACGCAUGGUGCGAACGUUGUUCGGAAUCACUGGGCAUAAAGAGCACGUAGGCGGUCGAGCAAGUCCAUUGUGAAAUCCCCCGGCCUAACCGGGGAACUGCAAUGGAUACUACUUGGCUGGAGUGCAGGAGGGGAGAGUGGAAUUCCUGGUGGAGCGGUGAAAUGCGUAGAUAUCAGGAGGAACGCCGGCGGCGAAAGCGACUCUCUGGUCUGCAACUGACGCUGAGGUGCGAAAGCUAGGGGAGCAAACGGGAUUAGAUACCCCGGUAGUCCUAGCCCUAAACGAUGGGCACUAAGUAGAGGGGUU